RNAcentral lists this long non-coding RNA (360 nucleotides) under Homo sapiens (human). RNAcentral's name for it is "non-protein coding lnc-SLC22A18-8:1". Lineage: Eukaryota; Metazoa; Chordata; Mammalia; Primates; Hominidae. The record is from RNAcentral.
AAGCAGUCCAGCGCUUUUCUUUCUCAGGAGCCUCUCUUUCCACCAGCGGAGGAGGAGACAGAUGCCUUCCAGCUGCUGGCUGGUCCCCAGGACCCCACUGCCACUGAGAGCUGACGAGUGGUCGAGUGCACGGCAAGUAUGUGCAGCUUGGAGAGGUGCAGUGACGUGCCUGAGGUCUACGGCCCCAAAUGGCAGAUGAGGGGCUCAAUUCCAGGCUUGUCUGUGGGGUGCCCUCCCUGGACACAAGGACUGCCAACCCUGUGUGAAUGUGAGCCUCAUGAAGGAGACAGGUGAGAAGCCUGAGUGCUGGUGGCUGUAGGCUGCUAAACUGUAAAUACAGAUAAUGUCCAAAGCACUGGU